RNAcentral lists this ribosomal RNA (789 nucleotides) under uncultured bacterium. RNAcentral's name for it is "bacterial SSU rRNA". It matches the Rfam family "Bacterial small subunit ribosomal RNA", at positions 60 to 862 of the family's 1533-position model. The record is from RNAcentral.
AGUCGAACGAGAGAGAAGGAGCUUGCUUCUUCGAUCGAGUGGCGAACGGGUGAGUAACGCGUGAGGAACCUGCCUCAAAGAGGGGGACAACAGUUGGAAACGACUGCUAAUACCGCAUAAGCCCACGGGUCGGCAUCGACCAGAGGGAAAAGGAGCAAUCCGCUUUGAGAUGGCCUCGCGUCCGAUUAGCUAGUUGGUGAGGUAAUGGCCCACCAAGGCGACGAUCGGUAGCCGGACUGAGAGGUUGAACGGCCACAUUGGGACUGAGACACGGCCCAGACUCCUACGGGAGGCAGCAGUGGGGAAUAUUGCACAAUGGGGGAAACCCUGAUGCAGCGACGCCGCGUGGAGGAAGAAGGUCUUCGGAUUGUAAACUCCUGUUGUUGAGGAAGAUAAUGACGGUACUCAACAAGGAAGUGACGGCUAACUACGUGCCAGCAGCCGCGGUAAAACGUAGGUCACAAGCGUUGUCCGGAAUUACUGGGUGUAAAGGGAGCGCAGGCGGGAAGACAAGUUGGAAGUGAAAUCCAUGGGCUCAACCCAUGAACUGCUUUCAAAACUGUUUUUCUUGAGUAGUGCAGAGGUAGGCGGAAUUCCCGGUGUAGCGGUGGAAUGCGUAGAUAUCGGGAGGAACACCAGUGGCGAAGGCGGCCUACUGGGCACCAACUGACGCUGAGGCUCGAAAGUGUGGGUAGCAAACAGGAUUAGAUACCCUGGUAGUCCACACCGUAAACGAUGAUUACUAGGUGUUGGAGGAUUGACCCCUUCAGUGCCGCAGUUAACACAAUA